RNAcentral lists this ribosomal RNA (524 nucleotides) under uncultured Oceanospirillales bacterium. RNAcentral describes it as "bacterial SSU rRNA". It matches the Rfam family "Bacterial small subunit ribosomal RNA", at positions 870 to 1398 of the family's 1533-position model. The record is from RNAcentral. Lineage: Bacteria; Pseudomonadati; Pseudomonadota; Gammaproteobacteria; Oceanospirillales.
CGCCUGGGGAGUACGGCCGCAAGGUUAAAACUCAAAUGAAUUGACGGGGACCCGCACAAGUAGUGGAGCAUGUGGUUUAAUUCGAAGAUACGCGCAGAACCUUACCAACACUUGACAUGUUCGUGCGACCUAAGAGAUUAGGUUUUCGGUUCGCCGGACGAAACACAGGUGCUGCAUGGCUGUCGUCAGCUCGUGUCGUGAGAUGUUGGGUUAAGUCCCGCAACGAGCGCAACCCUUACUUUUAGUUGCCAUCAUUUAUUGGGCACUCUGAAAGAACUGCCAGUGAUAAGCUGGAGGAAGGUGGGGAUGACGUCAAGUCCUCAUGGCCCUUACGUGUUGGGCUACACACGUGCUACAAUGGUAUCUACAACAGGAAGCAAAACGGCGACGUUAAGCAAAUCCUUAAAAGAUACCUCAGUUCGGAUUGCACUCUGCAACUCGAGUGCAUGAAGCUGGAAUUACUAGUAAUCGUGGAUCAGGUGCCACGGUGAAUGCGUUCCCGGGUCUUGAACACACCGCCCGUC